Molecule: ribosomal RNA, 252 nt
Filed under: uncultured bacterium
Lineage: Bacteria
Description: partial 16S ribosomal RNA
Rfam family: Bacterial small subunit ribosomal RNA
Source: RNAcentral
UACGUAGGCAGCGAGCGUUGUUCGGAAUUACUGGGCGUAAAGAGUGUGUAGGCGGUGCUCCCAGUCUGUUGUGAAAUCUCCCGGCUUAACUGGGAGGGUGCAGCGGAAACUAGAGUGCUAGAGGGUGGGAGAGUAAGCGGAAUUCCUGGUGUAGCGGUGAAAUGCGUAGAUAUCAGGAGGAACACCUGUGGUGUAGACAGCUUACUGGACCACUUCUGACGCUGAGACACGAAAGCGUGGGUAGCAAACAGG